CCCCAGUCCCAUCACUUUAUUUCCGCAUCCUUGAUGGUAAUUGGGUUGUAGAAUUCUAAAAGUUGUCGGUGUAGCUUUUAAUAGCAAGUCCAGCCUUGGACGGUGCUCGGGGGAUAGGGGAGAGGAAAUGGCCCGAGGUCCGGUGGACAACCCUCCAGCCUUGGAGAGUCCGAGUGAGGGUGGGAGCCCGAGCAUAAGGGGGGUGGGGAAUUGACAGGCGUGCAGCCCGAGGGGAGAGGGCUUCAAAGGUGGAGAUGCAAAAGGGGGCUUCUUCUUUAUCUAGCUGUCUGUCAUCCUCCAACCGGGAUCACUUCCAGGCUACAGUAAUUGGAGAUGGCUAGCGAGCCACCGAGAAGAAGCUGAACGCAAAAGAGAAGAAGUUGAGCACGAGCGAGAAGUCGUCUGCUAUUACAUUGCUGGGAUACCCCAUGGUAGCUUCUGUCAUUCGCAUUCCUUAACCUCCAAGUGGCCUUCAAGCUCCAUUCCACCAGCCACUUCACCAGCCAUCCCCGUAGUUGUACUCAAUUAUUUUAUUUUUUCACUUAAAAUUGUAUGAAUAUUUUAUUAUAAUAAUUAAAUAAAUAUUUUAAGUUG
Molecule: long non-coding RNA, 594 nt
Organism: Malus domestica (apple)
Lineage: Eukaryota; Viridiplantae; Streptophyta; Magnoliopsida; Rosales; Rosaceae
Source: RefSeq, a predicted model, not a curated record